ACACAUGCAAGUCGAGCGGUAGCACAGAGAGCUUGCUCUCGGGUGACGAGCGGCGGACGGGUGAGUAAUGUCUGGGAAACUGCCUGAUGGAGGGGGAUAACUACUGGAAACGGUAGCUAAUACCGCAUAAUGUCGCAAGACCAAAGUGGGGGACCUUCGGGCCUCAUGCCAUCAGAUGUGCCCAGAUGGGAUUAGCUAGUAGGUGGGGUAACGGCUCACCUAGGCGACGAUCCCUAGCUGGUCUGAGAGGAUGACCAGCCACACUGGAACUGAGACACGGUCCAGACUCCUACGGGAGGCAGCAGUGGGGAAUAUUGCACAAUGGGCGCAAGCCUGAUGCAGCCAUGCCGCGUGUGUGAAGAAGGCCUUCGGGUUGUAAAGCACUUUCAGCGGGGAGGAAGGCGUUAAGGUUAAUAACCUUGGCGAUUGACGUUACCCGCAGAAGAAGCACCGGCUAACUCCGUGCCAGCAGCCGCGGUAAUACGGAGGGUGCAAGCGUUAAUCGGAAUUACUGGGCGUAAAGCGCACGCAGGCGGUCUGUCAAGUCGGAUGUGAAAUCCCCGGGCUCAACCUGGGAACUGCAUUCGAAACUGGCAGGCUAGAGUCUUGUAGAGGGGGGUAGAAUUCCAGGUGUAGCGGUGAAAUGCGUAGAGAUCUGGAGGAAUACCGGUGGCGAAGGCGGCCCCCUGGACAAAGACUGACGCUCAGGUGCGAAAGCGUGGGGAGCAAACAGGAUUAGAUACCCUGGUAGUCCACGCCGUAAACGAUGUCGAUUUGGAGGUUGUGCCCUUGAGGCGUGGCUUCCGGAGCUAACGCGUUAAAUCGACCGCCUGGGGAGUACGGCCGCAAGGUUAAAACUCAAAUGAAUUGACGGGGGCCCGCACAAGCGGUGGAGCAUGUGGUUUAAUUCGAUGCAACGCGAAGAACCUUACCUGGUCUUGACAUCCACAGAACUUUCCAGAGAUGGAUUGGUGCCUUCGGGAACUGUGAGACAGGUGCUGCAUGGCUGUCGUCAGCUCGUGUUGUGAAAUGUUGGGUUAAGUCCCGCAACGAGCGCAACCCUUAUCCUUUGUUGCCAGCGGUUAGGCCGGGAACUCAAAGGAGACUGCCAGUGAUAAACUGGAGGAAGGUGGGGAUGACGUCAAGUCAUCAUGGCCCUUACGACCAGGGCUACACACGUGCUACAAUGGCAUAUACAAAGAGAAGCGACCUCGCGAGAGCAAGCGGACCUCAUAAAGUAUGUCGUAGUCCGGAUUGGAGUCUGCAACUCGACUCCAUGAAGUCGGAAUCGCUAGUAAUCGUAGAUCAGAAUGCUACGGUGAAUACGUUCCCGGGCCUUGUACACACCGCCCGUCACACCAUGGGAGUGGGUUGCAAAAGAAGUAGGUAGCUUAACCUUCGGGAGGGCGCUACC
RNAcentral lists this ribosomal RNA (1414 nucleotides) under Klebsiella sp. VITKAS-2. RNAcentral describes it as "16S ribosomal RNA". It matches the Rfam family "Bacterial small subunit ribosomal RNA". The record is from RNAcentral. Lineage: Bacteria; Pseudomonadati; Pseudomonadota; Gammaproteobacteria; Enterobacterales; Enterobacteriaceae.